Molecule: non-coding RNA, 77 nt
Filed under: Sulfitobacter mediterraneus
Lineage: Bacteria; Pseudomonadati; Pseudomonadota; Alphaproteobacteria; Rhodobacterales; Roseobacteraceae
Description: Singlet oxygen resistance RNA X
Rfam family: Singlet oxygen resistance RNA X
About the family: SorX (RSs2461)like SorY is a singlet oxygen induced sRNA that counteracts oxidative stress by targeting mRNA for a transporter in Rhodobacter. It also has an impact on resistance against organic hydroperoxides. It targets SD sequence of potA mRNA via an aSD sequence.
Source: Rfam by way of RNAcentral
AACCCGAAGCAUAUGUCCGGGCAAUGACAUAUACCUCCCUGUUGGACUUGGGCCGGACAUAUUGUCUGGCCCAUUUU